Long non-coding RNA from Fukomys damarensis (Damara mole-rat), 1128 nucleotides. RefSeq lists it as uncharacterized. The transcript is spliced from 4 exons. NCBI's taxonomy places the organism in Eukaryota, Metazoa, Chordata, Mammalia, Rodentia, Bathyergidae. The record is from RefSeq and is a predicted model, not a curated record.
GUAUGGAACUCAAAAGUCAGGACACCUUUAUUCCUUGGACUGUUGCUGACAUUCCUGAACUUGCAAGGUCCUCAGCAGAUCCAGGGCCAGAGCUCCAAAGGGAACUGCUUACAGACCUGUGACUCCGGCUGAAGCAGUGUGGAGCGUGUUCAGGUGGGCGGCUCACCCAGCAGGUGUGCAUCAAGUGCUUCCUGGGUGCCAGCCACCGCUGCAGACUUCCAUUGCGGUGGCUCUUCAGCAAGGCAAGGCUCAUGCUGCAAAUCUUUCCUCUUUUCAUCAAAGCCUUUCUGAGCCAGUCCCUACCUUCCUGUAACUUAGCUUCCAGAAUGGAAGAAAUAAUCCACGCUAAGAAGCCUGGCCUUGCCUCCUGCCUCCCUGAUCCUUCUUCCUUUGCCCAUCAUCCUCAUCACCCCAGCUUUUAACAAAGCUCAGCAGCAGUGGCUCUCAUGGGAAAGUUUCACAGGAAAAAGAAGACAGUGGGAUACCACUACACGAGAAUUCAAAAGAGCACUGAGGACAGAAAAAACUGGGAGCUUUGAUGAGCUUCCUGUGCCUUCAACUGCUGCAAGGUCUGAAUUUGAGUGAUGGUACCAGAAGGCGGCCAUUGUUUCAAGAACACUUGGGAAAUGCUUUGGGAGAGAAGACUGUGGCUCUACAAUUCCGUUCUGUGGGGAAGUCAUAAUCAGCAAACUCUCUAUCUGCUCCCACACUCAUUUUUCCACAGCUUUAGUUCAAGAGCCCCUAUACUUUCAAAGUCUGAGGCUGCCAAGGAGCGGAGACUCAUGGGCUGGGGUUCAGGUGGGUAAGAGUUUGGUAUGGACAGCCAGUCUUCCUGUUUGAAGUCUGCCUCCCUCUCUCACUGGUGAUACUUAUGUUGGUCAAAUUACCACACAUCGCUAAGCUUUAGAUUGUUUAUCUGCGGAAUGGGUUUAAUAAUAGCAAUUAUCUUAAAUGGUUGUUAUUAAGAUUAAAUAAAUGAAAGGUGUAUAUACAAAAUUGUAAUAGUUAUUGGCACUGGCUACACGUGUAAUCAACAUUAGCUAUUAUUUCAGAAAACAGAAAACCAAUAGCACUGGAGAUAGGUGGUUACUCUGUAUUCUCAAAAGGAUCAGACAACUGAUAAUUUAA